GACGGAGGAGGCAAGCGUUAUCCGGAAUUAUUGGGCGUAAAGCGUCCGCAGGCGGCUUUUUAAGUCUGUUGUCAAAGGUCACAGCUCAACUGUGGAUCGGCAAUGGAAACUGGGAGGCUAGAGUGUGGUAGGGGUAGAGGGAAUUCCCGGUGUAGCGGUGAAAUGCGCAGAUAUCGGGAAGAACAUCAGUGGCGAAGGCGCUCUACUGGGCCACAACUGACGCUGAGGGACGAAAGCUAGGGGAGCGAAA
RNAcentral lists this ribosomal RNA (250 nucleotides) under uncultured bacterium. RNAcentral describes it as "partial 16S ribosomal RNA". It matches the Rfam family "Bacterial small subunit ribosomal RNA", at positions 524 to 773 of the family's 1533-position model. The record is from RNAcentral.